Molecule: ribosomal RNA, 467 nt
Filed under: uncultured bacterium
Lineage: Bacteria
Description: partial 16S ribosomal RNA
Rfam family: Bacterial small subunit ribosomal RNA
Source: RNAcentral
GACGAACGCUGGCGGCGUGCUUAACACAUGCAAGUCGAACGGAAAGGCCCUGCUUUUGUGGGGUGCUCGAGUGGCGAACGGGUGAGUAACACGUGAGUAACCUGCCCUUGACUUUGGGAUAACUUCAGGAAACUGGGGCUAAUACCGGAUAGGAGCUCCUGCUGCAUGGUGGGGGUUGGAAAGUUUCGGCGGUUGGGGAUGGACUCGCGGCUUAUCAGCUUGUUGGUGGGGUAGUGGCUUACCAAGGCUUUGACGGGUAGCCGGCCUGAGAGGGUGACCGGCCACAUUGGGACUGGGAGACGGCCCAGACUCCUAGGGGGGGCAGCAGGGGGGAAUAUUGCCCAAGGGGGGGAAGCCUGAUGCAGCAACGCCGCGGGCGGGAGGCCGGCCUUGGGGUUGUAAACCGCUUUCGCCGGUGACGAAGCGGGAGUGACGGUAAUGGGUAAAGAAGCACCGGCUAACUACGU